Odocoileus virginianus texanus is the source of this 606-nucleotide non-coding RNA. NCBI's taxonomy places the organism in Eukaryota, Metazoa, Chordata, Mammalia, Artiodactyla, Cervidae. The record is from RefSeq and is a predicted model, not a curated record.
CACAGCUGCUUGGAGACAGGUAAGUCUGGGUUCAUUGUGAUGUGCUGGUCCAUUGCUUGUGACAUCAGUACUAUUUGGAACGCUGUUGGAGAAGGAGUGGGCCAGAACAGGAGAUGCCUCUCAGUGUGAAAGCAUCUGCUGCUUGGGUGUCUUGGUAAAAUGCAGCUGGUCUGUCCUCAGGUUUCAGAGGCGUGUGACCUUGGCGGUGACACAGGGUCCCGUACUCAAAAGACCCCCACAAGCUCCAUAGCUGGUCAUGCUUUAUCCUUGUAUGAUUCUGCAUGAAAUUUUACACAGCUCUGAGUCCAGGGUUGAUUUGAAGCUGUGUUCUCUCUUUACUUGAGAAUAUAUGACAGGAGACACGAGUUCAACGCCUGGUCCUGGAAGAUCCCCAUGUCGCAGAGCAGCUGAGGCCGUGCUCCACAGCUGCUGAGUCGGGGCUCCAGAGCCGCGACUUGCAACUCUCGAGACCGUGCGCAGUAGCUACUGAAGCCCCGGUGCUCUAGAGACUGCGCUCUGCGAUGCCCACCCCAACUCGAGAAAGCCCAUGCGCAGCAGCAAAGAGCUCAGCCGAAAAUAAAUAACCAGAAAACAAAUAAACCUAUA